ACUUCAUCUCUUAACUCUUGAUCCCCAGGGGGCCACUAUCCGUGGUGGCUGGAAGGACCUGAGCUCCGUUUGUCCCAGCCCUCCGUUUGAUUGGUAACUGUCUCUUGCAUUACUGACUUCAGCAGGCAUUUGCCCAGCACCUACUCCGUGCCAAGCCGCCAGAACACAGAGGAUGGCAGAGAGUCCACCUGCUUAAGUUGGAAAUCUGUGCACCACGAAAGUGAAAUAGGGUGCCUUGAUGAAAUUGGAUGAUUUUCAUCCACUCAGGGUGAGUGACCGGCAGCCAGGAGCUGGGUCGGAGAAGAUGGUGGAUUUCCGUACGUCUGAUGGACGACUCCGCGGGUUCCGGCUAACAGCCUUUCUGUUUUGUGCCUAUUUCACUGUUUAGAUUUAACAUUGCCAAAUACUAGAAAUUUUCUCCA
This is a long non-coding RNA of Mus musculus (house mouse), 422 nucleotides long. RefSeq annotates it as predicted gene, 32141. NCBI's taxonomy places the organism in Eukaryota, Metazoa, Chordata, Mammalia, Rodentia, Muridae. The record is from RefSeq and is marked validated. The transcript is spliced from 2 exons.